Molecule: ribosomal RNA, 253 nt
Filed under: uncultured prokaryote
Description: partial 16S ribosomal RNA
Rfam family: Bacterial small subunit ribosomal RNA
Source: RNAcentral
CACGUAGGAGGCGAACGUUAUCCGGAUUUACUGGGCGUAAAGCGCGUGUAGGUGGUUUGGUAAGUAGGGCGUGAAAGCUCCCGGCUCAACUGGGAGAGGCCGUUCUAAACUGCCAAGCUAGAGGAUGGUAGAGGGAGGUGGAAUUCCGGGUGUAGCGGUGGAAUGCGCAGAUAUCGGAAGGAACACCAGUGGCGAAGGCGGCGCCCUGGGGUGGGCCUGACGCUAAGAGACGAAAGCUAGGGGAGCGAACAGG